CGUGGCAGACCAAGGACGCACAUCCAGGGCUCUGCACCCAGUCGGCCAGCUGGCCCCUGCCGGUUGAGCUGGGGGCCCCACCGGAGAGAGGCAGGCAAAGCGGCAUCCAGGACUCACUGCUGUAUCCCCAGCCCCUAACAGGGCACAGCGCUGGACCCUGAAAGGACUGACUCGGGAAGUAUUUAUUGAGCACCUACGACACGCCAGCCUGUGGGCGCACAGUCCAGCUCAGGAGAGGGUCGGCGAACCAGUAAACUGGCAAGUACGGAGGAAUGAAUCGUGACAAGCGCCACAAAGGGGACAGGGGAUGCCGCGAACAAGGAUGCUGCAUGUCCUCAUUGGCCACACGUGGAACAGACUGUUCCCACCACCUGCCCUGGAUCCCACACUAUUGCUCACCGUCCAGGAAAAGGGAAAGCCAAGCCUUCCUUGGACAACCCAGUUCCCCCCACCCACCCCAUUCCAGGGGGCUGAGCCAUACACCCAGGGUACUGUGUGGUCUCAGAAAGAGCCUGAGGGCAGAGGACCCGGGGAGAAGGUCCACAAAACACCCCGAAACCCUCACUGACAAUGGGGCAGAAGGAGGCUUCCCACUGUGAUAAGGCUUGCAAGGGAUUUGCAGGUAAGACCAACCUUGAGAGAACUGGCCUAUGUACCAACUGGAUCCCCUGUUCAGCCUCAUCUCUGAUUUGGGAAACUUCUGUCCUGGACCACCCCAGCCCCACCGAGCCUGGCCUCCCAGAGAGCCCUGCACAGCCCUCCCCAGCCCCUCGAAGCUCCCUACACUGGCCUUACCCCAGAGGGACACUGUCAAUCAGGAACUCCCCCACACGGCUGGCCCGUGACUGUUACCACCCCCAGCGUGACUGGUCCUGCAAAUUGGGAGGAUCUGGAAGUCUCUGGGCAUGUGGUGUGCCCCGCUGGUGAAGGGAUGGGCUCAUGGGGAAGCAGAAGAGAAGCAGAGGGAGGAAGGAAGGGGCCUGGAUCUCAGCCACCCUGCCCAGCUCUUGCAGCCAGCCCCCCACCUGGUCACUGCCUCCGGAGCUGACAUGGUGGUGAGUCCCUGGUCACCACGCCCCCGCACCCCCGUCUCCCCUGAUGCCCCUGGGGUACAGGUAGCUCCUUGUGACCUGUGGGCUUUGGAGUCGGCAGACCUGGAUUCAAAUGCUGCCUCUCUCGGGCUGUCUGCCCAGGCAAGGCCUCCCCCGUAACUGGGACUGGAAUGCUCAGAGCUGCUGAGAGCGUGCGACUGGAAGGGUUCAGAGGGGGCACCUGGCCUCGCCUUCCCCUUUCCUCCUCCUGACCAAAUUUUUAUCAGGACACCCAAAUGGUAGGGCUCGGUGUCAUUCAUCACGAGCCCCUGUUCCCUGCCGCUACAACAGGGAAAGGUCUUGCUUGCCCCUCAGAAGCAGCUUUGACUGUUUUAACGGGAGCCUUUUGGAGACACAAUGAUGGUCUCGGGCAGUGCCAAUCGAGGAGGCGAUUGAGGGCUUUAGGGCGCCACUCAAGGUGGCCGUGGGGCAGGCGGCUCACGCUGAGUU
Molecule: long non-coding RNA, 1541 nt
Organism: Callorhinus ursinus (northern fur seal)
Lineage: Eukaryota; Metazoa; Chordata; Mammalia; Carnivora; Otariidae
Source: RefSeq, a predicted model, not a curated record